GGGGACGUAGUUCAACGGUAGAGCGCAUAGGAAAUGUCAAGCAUCGUCACCACCGGAUUACCGGUAAGUAGUUGCCCCGGCGUAGGUAGUGUUUAGUUUACGAACUACUGUGAAGCGCGGGUUCGACUCCUGCCGUCUCCA
Non-coding RNA from Stipitochalara longipes BDJ, 141 nucleotides. Lineage: Eukaryota; Fungi; Ascomycota; Leotiomycetes; Helotiales; Hamatocanthoscyphaceae. The record is from the annotation of a GenBank genome assembly.